This is a non-coding RNA of Paramisgurnus dabryanus, 1206 nucleotides long. NCBI's taxonomy places the organism in Eukaryota, Metazoa, Chordata, Actinopteri, Cypriniformes, Cobitidae. The record is from RefSeq and is a predicted model, not a curated record.
GUUCUUUGCGCAUGCGCACAAAUGCACAUUUUCCCUGGUGCUAAAAGGAGUUUCCAGUCAGGUUCACGGUGACGGUGGGAAAGGAAGACGGGAUAUUUCAGCCCCGGAGUUUUGCUCAGUCGGUCUAUUUGCACAGACAGUCAACAAGAUGACUUAUUGAAAGACCUGGAAAACAUCACCAUGGACAUAUGUGUAAUCAAAAAGAAAGAAGGUGUUCUUGGCGACUAUGACGAUAUUGGAGUCGUUGUUGGAGUGAUGAUUCUUGAGCAGCUCAAAUCUGUGGCACAAGCCUGCAUUGAUGCUGGGUACAAUCUAUGUGCUUAAUUUGGCGUACCCCAAAUAACUAAAAUACUACUUUUUUGAAAUUUUUUAGAAAUUCAUUAUGCAGAUGGAUUCUAAAGCUCUCCCCAAAAAUUCAAGGACUGAAAAACGUUUUAAAGGUGCAGUGUGUAAUUUUUAUCGUCAUCUAGUGGUGAGGUUGCGAGUUGCAACCAACGGCUUAGUCCACGGCUCACUUCUCGCUUUUGAAACACAUAGAGAAGGACAAACAUGUCAUCGUUGGAGACAACUUAGCAAAAAAAUGUCCUUUAAGGGCUUCUGUAAAAAAAAUGGCAGCACAAAAUGGCGACUUCCAUGUAAGGGGACCCUCGGUGUAUGAAGAUGAAAAGGUCUUGUUCUAAGGCAAUAAACACAUAACGGUUCAUUAUGAAAGGUGUUUAUACACCCGUGAUAAUAUAGUUUUGUAUGUUAUUUUGCAUUUCUGUAAAAAGAUCCUCUUAAAAAUUUCACACUGCACCUUUAAUACUGAAAUGUUGUAGCAGACAUGUAUGUGCAUGCUCAGCAUGAAAUGUUAGUCCAGAUGUCACAGUCUACUCUGUUUACCAUUUAAGACCUGGGAAUCCGUAGUUUUAAACAUUUUAAUAAUGCUUUUAAUGAUUCAUAACUGUUGUCUGUAAAAAUGUAACACUUUUUUUUAAAAUAAUUAUUGUGCAAUGUGUGAAGUCAGCACUACUGUUUUUGACUUUUGUGCUGUUUUAUUGAUUCACAAACAUUGUGGCCUCUUUCCAUCUGUGUUUUUUUAUUUUAUAUUUUGUGAAUGUGCAGUGAGCACUUGUUUUAAACACUUGUACACACAAAGAAAUUGUUAUUGAACAUGCACUACAUUUGCUGAAUAACAUUAAACUUACCACUUGGUGUAUUUGCAAA